This 110-nucleotide ribosomal RNA is filed under the name Nannospalax galili (Upper Galilee mountains blind mole rat). The record is from RNAcentral. Lineage: Eukaryota; Metazoa; Chordata; Mammalia; Rodentia; Spalacidae.
CCAUACCGCCAUCAAUGAGCCUGAUCUGGUCUGACCUUGGAAGCUAGCAGUUUUGGGCCUGGUUAGUACUGGGAUCAGAGACCACCUGGGAAUACCUGGUGCUGUAGGCU